Molecule: long non-coding RNA, 751 nt
Filed under: Cyanistes caeruleus (blue tit)
Lineage: Eukaryota; Metazoa; Chordata; Aves; Passeriformes; Paridae
Description: lncRNA (ENSCCEG00000016595.1)
Source: RNAcentral
ACCUGGGGCUCCAUCAUGCAGAAUGAAAAAUGAAAGGAUGGCCACAGAAAUACAUGCACACCCUUGCUUGGACACGUGUUGUACAGAGAGCAGUGCCACUCAGAACCUUAUACUGGGAUUUGAAAGAGAAGGGGACACCUGGAUCAGUUUUGAGGUGGAGCACAGUGUUACCAAAGAAGUAAAAAUGCUUUGUUUAUAAAAAUACAGAAUGGCCUGGUUCGAUGUGAUCUGAAAGAUCAUCUCAUUCCAACUCUCCUGCUGAAGGCAGGGACACCUUUCACUAGGUCAGGUUGCUCUGAGUUCAUUUCAACCUGGCCUUGAACACUUCAAGGCCUGGGGCACCUACAACCUCUCUGGAUAACUGUUGCCAAUGCCUUACAAUGUAACCCUAACCUAACCCUAACCCUAACCCUAACCCUAACCCUAACCCUAACCCUAACCCUAACCCUAACCCUAACCCUAACCCUAACCCUAACCCUAACCCUAACCCUAACCUAACCCUAACCCUAACCCUAACCCUAACCCUAACCCUAACCCUCCCAGUAAAGAUUUUUUUUCCUAAUAUAUGAUUUCCUAAUAUACUCUCGUUCAGUUUGAACCCCUCCCCCUUGUCCUGCCACUGCAUGCUCUUGUGAAAAGUCUCUCUCCAUCUUUCUUGUUCUUUUCAGGUACUGGAAGGCCACAAUUAGGUCACCCUUAAGCUGUCUCUUUUCCAGGCUGUACAAUUCCAAUUCUCUUAGCCUUUCCUGAC